AUUGAACGCUGGCGGCAGGCCUAACACAUGCAAGUCGAGCGAGCGGCGGACGGGUGAGUAAUGUCUGGGAAACUGCCUGAUGGAGGGGGAUAACUACUGGAAACGGUAGCUAAUACCGCAUACCAUCAGAUGUGCCCAGAUGGGAUUGGCUAGUAGGUGGGGUAAUGGCUCACCUAGGCGCCGAACCCUAGCUGGUCUGAGAGGAUGACCAGCAACACGGGAACGGAGACACGUUCCAGACUCCUACGUGAGGCAGCAGUGGGGAAUAUUGCACAAUGGGAGCAAGCCUGAUGCAGCCAUGCCGCGGGGGUGGAGAAGGCCUACGGGUUGUAAAGCAAUUUCAGCGGGGAGGCGUUACCCGCAGAAGAAGCACCGGCUAACUCCGUGCCAGCCGACGCGGUAAUAC
This 406-nucleotide ribosomal RNA is filed under the name uncultured bacterium. RNAcentral's name for it is "partial 16S ribosomal RNA". It matches the Rfam family "Bacterial small subunit ribosomal RNA", at positions 29 to 526 of the family's 1533-position model. The record is from RNAcentral.